UACGGAGGGGGCCAGCGUUGUUCGGAAUCAUUGGGCGUAAAGGGCAGCGUAGGCGGCCACGGCAAGUCGGAUGUGAAAAUCCCUCGGCUCAACCGAGGAAGCUGCAUCCGAAACUGCGAGGCUAGAGUCCUGGAGAGGGUAGUGGAAUUCCCAGUGUAGCGGUGAAAUGCGUAGAUACUGGAGGAACACCGGUGCGAAGGCGGCUACCUGGACAGGUACUGACGGCUGAUGCGCGAAAGCCAGGGAG
RNAcentral lists this ribosomal RNA (247 nucleotides) under uncultured bacterium. RNAcentral's name for it is "partial 16S ribosomal RNA". It matches the Rfam family "Bacterial small subunit ribosomal RNA", at positions 524 to 767 of the family's 1533-position model. The record is from RNAcentral.